GUGAUAUGGUCAAGCGAAUAAGCGCACACGGUGGAUGCCUUGGCGGUCAGAGGCGAUGAAGGACGUGGCAGCCUGCGAAAAGUGUCGGGGAGCUGGCAACAAGCUUUGAUCCGGCAAUGUCCGAAUGGGGAAACCCACCCGCAAGGGUAUUGCAUGGUGAAUACAUAGCCAUGCAAGGCGAACCCGGGGAACUGAAAUAUCUAAGUACCCGGAGGAAAAGAAAUCAACCGAGAUUCCGUCAGUAGCGACGAGCGAACGCGGAGCAGCCCAAAAGUCCGUACGGUUUUAGCAGAACACGCUGGGAAGCGUGGCCGUAGAUGGUGACAGCCCUGUAUGCGAAAGGGCCGUACGGAUGAAAUUGAGUAGGGCGGGGCACGUGAAACCCUGUCUGAACAUGGGGGGACCAUCCUCCAAGGCUAAAUACUCCUGACCGACCGAUAGUGAACCAGUACCGUGAGGGAAAGGCGAAA
RNAcentral lists this ribosomal RNA (470 nucleotides) under Chitinophagaceae bacterium. RNAcentral's name for it is "partial 23S ribosomal RNA". It matches the Rfam family "Bacterial large subunit ribosomal RNA", at positions 1 to 519 of the family's 2925-position model. Lineage: Bacteria; Pseudomonadati; Bacteroidota; Chitinophagia; Chitinophagales; Chitinophagaceae. The record is from RNAcentral.